This 482-nucleotide ribosomal RNA is filed under the name uncultured bacterium. Its description in RNAcentral is "partial 16S ribosomal RNA". It matches the Rfam family "Bacterial small subunit ribosomal RNA", at positions 30 to 507 of the family's 1533-position model. The record is from RNAcentral.
AUUGAACGCUGGCGGCAUGCCUUACACAUGCAAGUCGAACGGUAACGGGCCUUCGGGUGCCGACGCGUGGCGAACGGGUGAGUAAUACACCGGAACGUGCCCGAUCGUGGGGGAUAACGAGGCGAAAGCUUUGCUAAUACCGCAUACGAUCUACGGAUGAAAGCAGGGGACCGCAAGGCCUUGCGCGGGCGGAGCGGCCGAUGGCAGAUUAGGUAGUUGGUGGGAUAAAAGCUUACCAAGCCGACGAUCUGUAGCUGGUCUGAGAGGAUGAUCAGCCACACUGGGACUGAGACACGGCCCAGACGCCUACGGGAGGCAGCAGUGGGGAAUUUUGGACAAUGGGCGCAAGCCUGAUCCAGCCAUGCCGCGUGCAGGAUGAAGGCCUUCGGGUUGUAAACUGCUUUUGUACGGAACGAAAAGCCUUCUUUUAAUACAGGAGGGUCAUGACGGUACCGGAAGAAUAAGCACCGGCUAACUACGUG